UUCUGUAAGGCGAACGGUGAUGCGAUGCCUAACUGCCUAAAAAGGAAAAGGGGGUGCGAGGGUGAAAAAUAGAUCUAAGGUAAAUGCACUACUGAUAAGGGAAGGUUUCGGUAAUAACCUCCGGGAUGAAGCUCCUCGUAAUCGGCGGAGUCGCCGGUGCAGCUGCAGAUGAUGGAGCCGCUAAUGGGAUCUCGGAUGAGGCCUCAGCUUUUGCCGGUGGAGCUCCUUCUUCCGUCAAUGGAGUCGCCGCUGUCGCUACUGAAAUCUCCAUCGAAGGCGCCAUUUCUGGAGCUUC
RNAcentral lists this long non-coding RNA (295 nucleotides) under Setaria viridis. Its description in RNAcentral is "long non-coding RNA (SVIR_LNC004723)". Lineage: Eukaryota; Viridiplantae; Streptophyta; Magnoliopsida; Poales; Poaceae. The record is from RNAcentral.